Molecule: ribosomal RNA, 738 nt
Filed under: Triticum aestivum (bread wheat)
Lineage: Eukaryota; Viridiplantae; Streptophyta; Magnoliopsida; Poales; Poaceae
Description: partial small subunit ribosomal RNA
Source: RNAcentral
AUGGAUUUGUUUUGCGCCGGGGAUGAGCUUUUGCUGGCCAAGUGCCACGAGAUAUACACCUGGUUUCCGAGCGUGAAAUCUCUCGUGAUGCACUCACUGAGCCUGGCGUUGGAAAUAUGUGGAGGCUAUGACCCACGCAACCCUAAAUCAAACUUGGUAACAGAGCCUCUUUUCCAAGCCGCACCGCACGCUCGUUUUUCGCGUCGCCGCUCGCUCGAUCGCAUCGCCGCUCGACUCGAUCGAUCUCGCGUCGCCGCUCGUUCCUGCGUCAACGCCCGGCCUUGCAGCUCCUGUUUGAUGGCGUCUGCUUCGUCUUCUGCAGCGAUGCAACUGGCCAUUAUCGGCCCGGUUGUGACGCAUCCGGCCGCGACGGCGCCAGUCCCGUCCAUCGCGCCUUCCCUUGGCGUACGACUGGAUCGCGACAACUUCCCGCUAUGGUGCACCCUCACCGUGACGCAUCUCUCCGGUGCCUCUCUCCAUGGCUACCUCGACGGCUCCGUCCCUGCUCCGCCCACAACCAUCUCCCAGGGGGCGGGUGCUGCCGCCACCACUGUGGCAAACCCUGCGUAUGCAACGUGGUGGACGCAGGACCAGAAGGUCCUCGGGAUGCUCCUCUCCUCCAUGACGGAGGACAUUGCGUCUCAGCUGAUCAGCUGCAAGUCAGCUGCUGCCGCGUGGACCUCCAUCCACGCCAUGUUCAGCGUGCAGAACCGUGCCGGGGUUCGGCACAUUCGGUGA